GAUGAACGCUGGCGGCGUGCCUAAUACAUGCAAGUCGAGCGAACAGAUGAGGAGCUUGCUCCUCUGACGUUAGCGGCGGACGGGUGAGUAACACGUGGAUAACCUACCUAUAAGACUGGGAUAACUUCGGGAAACCGGAGCUAAUACCGGAUAAUAUAUUGAACCGCAUGGUUCAAUAGUGAAAGACGGUUUUGCUGUCACUUAUAGAUGGAUCCGCGCCGCAUUAGCUAGUUGGUAAGGUAACGGCUUACCAAGGCAACGAUGCGUGGCCGACCUGAGAGGGUGAUCGGCCACACUGGAACUGAGACACGGUCCAGACUCCUACGGGAGGCAGCAGUAGGGAAUCUUCCGCAAUGGGCGAAAGCCUGACGGAGCAACGCCGCGUGAGUGAUGAAGGUCUUCGGAUCGUAAAACUCUGUUAUUAGGGAAGAACAAAUGUGUAAGUAACCAUGCACGUCUUGACGGUACCUAAUCAGAAAGCCACGGCUAACUACGUG
This 497-nucleotide ribosomal RNA is filed under the name uncultured bacterium. RNAcentral's name for it is "partial 16S ribosomal RNA". It matches the Rfam family "Bacterial small subunit ribosomal RNA", at positions 28 to 507 of the family's 1533-position model. The record is from RNAcentral.